Trichechus manatus latirostris (Florida manatee) is the source of this 103-nucleotide small nuclear RNA. The record is from RefSeq and is a predicted model, not a curated record. NCBI's taxonomy places the organism in Eukaryota, Metazoa, Chordata, Mammalia, Sirenia, Trichechidae.
AUGCUCGCUUUGGCAGCCCAUGUACUAAAACUGGAUAAUACAGAGAUCAGCACGGCCCCUGCACAAGGAAGACACACAAAUUCGUGAAGCAGUCCAUAUUUUU